UCUUAAGCGAUGAUGAGAAAGAGUACAAAAAGGAAUUGCGCCAAGCGAGAAUGGGGUAGUGAGAGCCAUUGGCAAGGAACUUUUGGAAGUGCGUCUCGGAGUUGAUUGGAAGAAGGGACAGUAUUCCGAUCCGUAUAACUGCGUUAAAGUUAAUAAGCUGGAACGACGACAUGGUCGUUCAAUCAGAGUGGGACCGCGGAACCUUUCGUCUCUGGA
This 216-nucleotide non-coding RNA is filed under the name Desulfosporosinus sp. RNAcentral's name for it is "T-box sequence". It matches the Rfam family "T-box leader". Rfam says of the family: Uncharged tRNA acts as the effector for transcription antitermination of genes in the T-box leader family. T-boxes are found upstream of many aminoacyl-tRNA synthetase genes and some amino acid biosynthetic genes usually in Gram-positive bacteria. Lineage: Bacteria; Bacillati; Bacillota; Clostridia; Eubacteriales; Desulfitobacteriaceae. The record is from RNAcentral.